This 254-nucleotide ribosomal RNA is filed under the name uncultured bacterium. RNAcentral's name for it is "partial 16S ribosomal RNA". It matches the Rfam family "Bacterial small subunit ribosomal RNA", at positions 524 to 776 of the family's 1533-position model. The record is from RNAcentral.
UACGGGGGGGGCAAGCGUUGUUCGGAAUUACUGGGCGUAAAGGGUUCGUAGGUGGCCAACUAAGUCAGACGUGAAAUCCCUCAGCUUAACUGGGGAACUGCGUCUGAUACUGGUCUGGCUUGAGUGCAGGAGAGGAACGCGGAAUUCCAGGUGUAGCGGUGAAAUGCGUAGAUAUCUGGAGGAACACCGGUGGCGAAGGCGGCAUCCUGGGCCGGUAUUGACGCUGAGGAGCGAAAGCCAGGGGAGCAAACGGG